ACACAGAACUGUAAAGAGGCUUGACAACACAGAAUAUAGCAGGAGUAUUACUUCCCUCACCUUGGUUGGCAGGAGCUGGGGCUAACAGCAGGCACUCAUUCCGCUCCCGGGAUUUGAAUCUGGGACCUUUUGGUCUGCAAGUUCAGCAGCUCAGCGCUUUAACACACUGUGCCAUCAGGGGCCCCACUGGUAAGUUUAUGUUGGUUAAAAAUGUUACUCAUUUUAAAUAUUGCAUUGUUCUUCCAUAGUUUUUUUUCCCCCCAAUACAAAUAAGAUACGUGCAGUGUGCAUAGGAAUUCAUUCAUGUUUGUUUCAAACUAUAAUCUGAAUCCCCAACAGUCUGAGAGGCUGUGAACCAGUCCUCGGCUUUAAAAGUUUGGGGACCACAAGUCUAUGCUGUUUGUUUCUUGUUUUUCUCAUCAUUAUUGGGUUGAAUGAAGCAGCUUUAAAGAGGUUCAUGGUGGGACUGAAUCAACCCCCUUUUUUUCCAAACUCCCCUCCCCUUUUGGUAGAGGUUGGGUCCACUCCCCACACCAGCAAAUUAUCAUAAACAAACAGCAAAAGGGCAGAUAUACACAUGUGCACAUCUUUCCUAGCAACUGGUUGAGUGAAAAAACAUAGGACAAAACAAAAGCUGGAAAAAAUGCACAUCUUCUGCCACUGCCACCCCCUCAAAGGAAUGACUCACUAGCAACCAAGCUCUUUUAUACACAUGCUGAGUCGCAGCUCCCAAGCACACACCCUGGGCAUGCACAAACAUGCCAAUUGAGAAAUAAAGGCCCCUUCCACACAGCUAUAUGAGAUCCACAUUGAACUGGAUUAUUUGGCAGUGUGGACUCAGAUAAUCCAGUUCAAAGCAGAUAUUGUGGAUUAUCUUCCUUGAUAUUUGAGGUUAUAUGGCUGUGUGGAAGAGCCCAAAGACAGUGUCCUUUUAUAAAAGUGGAACUCUUUGCCUUGUAGUGUGGUGAAAGUUCCUUCCCUGGAGACUUUUAAACAGAAGCUGGAUGGUCACCUGUCAGGGGUGCUUUGAUUGUGCUUUUCCUUGCAUGGCAGGGGGUUGGACUAAAUGGCCCAUGUGGUCUCUUCCAGCUCUAUGAUUCAAAGGAGACCAACAAGAUUACACUCAUUUUCCUUUCACAUGGCUCUUGAGUAGAAGAAAGAGAAAAUCAAGAAUCUAUUGAAUUCCAUUCAAAUUCUAGAGUGAAGAGGAGAAGCCAGGAAGACAUUUCCAUCUUGACUUCUGUGCCAUCAACUAGAGGCCCCUCCCCCCAGUAACAUGCUACGCUAAUAAUAUAAUACUAUAUAUACAUAUAAUAUAUAAUAUACAAUAAUAUAUUUUUUUUGUGUCAGGAGCAACCGGAGUUGCUUCUGGAGUGAGAGAAUUGGCUAUCUGCAAGGACGUUGCCCAGGGGACGCCCGGAUGUUUUGAUGUUUUCCCAUCCUUGUGGGAGGCUUCUCUCAUGUCCCCGCAUGGAGCUG
Molecule: long non-coding RNA, 1479 nt
Filed under: Anolis carolinensis (green anole)
Lineage: Eukaryota; Metazoa; Chordata; Lepidosauria; Squamata; Anolidae
Description: lncRNA (ENSACAG00000041852.1)
Source: RNAcentral